This 884-nucleotide long non-coding RNA is filed under the name Ovis aries (sheep). RNAcentral's name for it is "lncRNA (ENSOARG00000025547.1)". The record is from RNAcentral. Lineage: Eukaryota; Metazoa; Chordata; Mammalia; Artiodactyla; Bovidae.
AAGCCAUUCUGGCAAAUUAAUUGAACAUAGGAAGGGAGUGGUGGAAAGCCCUGAUUUACAGCCAGUUGGUUAGACAUACAGGUAAUAUGCUGGGCUUGUGACUGGAAUCUGAACUGGAAUUUUAUAGGACUGAGUCUUGAACAGAGUAGAAACAGUGUUAGACUUUAUUUUUCUGGGCUCCAAAAUCACUGCAGAUGGUGAUUGCAGCCAUGAAAUUAAAAGACGCUUACUCCUUGGAAGAAAAGUUAUGACCAACCUAGAUAGUAUAUUCAAAAGCAGAGACAUUACUUUGCCGACUAAGGUCCGUCUACUCAAGGCUAUGGUUUUUCCUGUGGUCAUGUGUGGAUGUGAGAGUUGGACUGUGAAGAAGGCUAAGCACCGAAGAAUUGAUGCUUUUGAACUGUGGUGUUGGAGAAGACUCUUGAGAGUCCCUUGGACUGCAAGGAGAUCCAACCAGUCCAUUCUGAAGGAGAUCAGCCCUGGGAUUUCUUUGGAAGAAUGAUGCUAAAGCUGAAACUCUAGUACUUUGGCCACCUCAUGCAAAGAGUUGACUCAUUGGAAAAGACUCUGAUGCUGGGAGGGAUUGGGGGCAGGAGGAGAAGGGGACAACAGAGGAUGAGAUGACUGGAUGGCAUCACUGACUCAGUGGACGUGAGUCUGAGUGAACUCCGGGAGUUGGUGAUGGACAGGGAGGCCUGGCGUGCUGUGAUUCAUGGGGUCGCAAAGAGUCAGACACGACUGAGUGACUGAACUGACUGAUAUCUUUCUACUUCUUUGUAUAGUCAUUCUAUUAAUUUUUGAAAGUUUGAUAUUUAAACUCCCAGUAAAAAUCUUAAUUUAUCUACUUAAAAAUUAAUUGUAAUAUAUAGUGGAACUAUAUGUAA